UUGUUACUCCCUCCGUCCGAAAAUACUUGUCAUCAAAAUGGAUAAAAAGGGAUGUAUCUAUAAUUAAAAUAUGUCUAGAUACAUCUCCUCUUAUUCAUUUUGAUGACAAGUAUUUGACGGAGGGAGUACAAA
Molecule: non-coding RNA, 132 nt
Organism: Triticum aestivum (bread wheat)
Lineage: Eukaryota; Viridiplantae; Streptophyta; Magnoliopsida; Poales; Poaceae
Source: Rfam